The sequence is a transfer RNA, 122 nucleotides long. It matches the Rfam family "tRNA". From Rfam's summary of the family: Transfer RNA (tRNA) molecules are approximately 80 nucleotides in length. Their secondary structure includes four short double-helical elements and three loops (D, anti-codon, and T loops). Further hydrogen bonds mediate the characteristic L-shaped molecular structure. tRNAs have two regions of fundamental functional importance: the anti-codon, which is responsible for specific mRNA codon recognition, and the 3' end, to which the tRNAs corresponding amino acid is attached (by aminoacyl-tRNA synthetases). tRNAs cope with the degeneracy of the genetic code in two manners: having more than one tRNA (with a specific anti-codon) for a particular amino acid; and 'wobble' base-pairing, i.e. permitting non-standard base-pairing at the 3rd anti-codon position. The record is from Rfam.
GGGCGUGUGGCUCAGUUGGUAGAGCGUUCGCUUAGCAUCCUGUUCUGUCCGCGUCUCUGUGGAUGCCAGGGUCAGGAAUAGGUGUAUGCGAAAGGUCCUGGGUUCGAUUCCCAGCUCGUCCA